This 9613-nucleotide long non-coding RNA is filed under the name Triticum aestivum (bread wheat). RNAcentral describes it as "long non-coding RNA (TAES_LNC019939)". Lineage: Eukaryota; Viridiplantae; Streptophyta; Magnoliopsida; Poales; Poaceae. The record is from RNAcentral.
CAAGUUUUCCAUAUACACAGGUUGCCUGGUCAUACAUGAGAGAUCAUCAGUUGCUGCAGGCCAAGGUUGCAACCACACCAAAAUGAUGUAUUAAAUCACCAGACAAGUACUUUUUACAAAACACACAUAUAGAAAAAAAACUAAAUGAAAAAUCAUGCAUUCCGAGACGCAUGUACAUCAACUACAGCUGAUAUGACGAAAUGGUGGGUCCCGAAUGUAAGCUACCCCAAAGGAGACGGCAACUGGCCGGCACGGAGCGGAGGGCAUGUAACUAAUUUUUCCGCAAGUGGUAGUGGCAUAGACCGAACUCGUGAAGUUCGAGUGGCAGCUGUUGAAUAUCCGACUUCACUAGUGGCACAGGCCCAAAUUUCCCUCCACUCACUAAUUGACCCCUUGUGGCUGCAGCAUAUUAUGUUGUAGGUGUAUUUCACAAAGAGUAAGGGUGCGUAGGUUCGCUAGUCUCCACUCUACACAUUUCGCCUCUGGCAUCGAAUGAGACUUUCAUUGUUAACUUUAUUUACUUCGAUGAGCUAGGUUUGGGCAAAGCAAUUUGUAUUAGACUGUGUAUUCUGGAUCAUGAUGAUUAGUAGGACUUAUUAUUAUGAUGAUUAGUAGGACUUAUUAUUAUGAUAAUGCAUGAUGCGAGCAUGAAGAGUUAUUAUAUAUCAGUGGGUGAAAUGAACAUGGAUUGGAUUGAAGUGAAGGCAACAUGCAUGUGGUGCAUGUCGAAAGUAGUACUAAUCCAAACUUAAUCAAGUUAGGAUUAGUAUUACUUUCUACAUGCACCACAUGUUGCCUUCACUUUAAUCUAAGCCAUGUUUAGGCAUAGCAGUACCGUUGCUAAACCAAGCAUGGAGAUAAGAGAGGACAUUUCUCUCUAUUAGCUAGCUAACACACCCUAAAUUAUCCCCUAAACCACCCCCUUUCAGAAAAAAAGAAAAACCUCAGCUCCUGCCAGCUGCUGACGCGUGGACGCCUAUUUAUUCCCGGUUGGUGCCACCAACCGGGACCAAAGGCCCUCCUGCCUGGGCUCGCAGCACCGGCCACGUGAAGGCCCAUAUGUCCCGGUUCGUGUAAGAACCGGGACUAAAGGCCUAAGGCUUUAGUAACGACCCUUUAGUCCCGGUUUAAAAACCGGGACAAAUGGGCCUUACGAACCGGGACAAUAGGUCAUUUUUCUACUAGUGGUGGCACAGGCCAAAAUUCCCUCCACUCACUGAUUGAGCCCUUGUGGCUGCAGCGUAUUAUGUUGUAGGUGUAUUUCACAAAGAGUAAGGAUGCGUAGGUUCGCUAGUCUCCACUCUACACAUUUCGCCUCUGGCAUCGGAUGAGACUUUCAUUGUUAACUUUAUUUACUUUGAUGAGCUAGCUUUGGGCAAAGCAAUUUGUAUUAGACUGUGUAUUCUGGAUCAUGCGUUGUAAUAGAAUAGGAUAAUUUUGUGUUGGUAUUUCAUUGGUAUCGUGUAUGCUGGCGAAUCAAUCCAGUGACGGGCACGGUAAGCACGGAGAGUCAAAACCUAACAGGUUUGGUCCUUACAGCAUGCAGCCUGGGUGAUAAAAAAAAGACGAUGCAACCUAGACCUGUUAAAAAGCCAUUUUACAGGAGUACUCCUCCCUAAACAGAAUUCAAAACUGAAACAAAACUCUAUCUAGGACUCAAAUAUAUGCCAGCGGGCUGAUCUUUGUACAACAAACAUGAUGAACUUUAACCAGCCACACAAGAUCUUCUUUCUUUCUUUCUUUGCGGGAACAGUAGAUCUUCUUUCGACAGGGAGGAAUGAUAGACUUUGUAUCUGAUCGGCGCUAGCGCCCUAAUAAACAUAUAAAAGUACAAUCUUGAUAUACUUUUUGAGGGGAGUACAGUCUUGAUUAACGGCCGCAAGUACAAAGUCUUGUGCGGCAAACACAUCCGGGCCAGUCAGGAUCGCCUUGGUCUGCAGGAACAGUUUACAUAUGACUUGCAAUGGGUACUAACAAUUGUGGGAGUAUAAUAUGUUAACACUUAAUUGAUUAGAUAUUACGAUGGAUCUGUAGAACAAACGACAUAUGAUCUGCAAGACUACAACAAGGCCAUACUUUAAGAAAAAGACUAGGUGGCCAGAGCACUUACGACAUCCAAACCCACGGGCACACGAAUCCGCCAGCCCUCGGGGCGCCGUCGCAAUGAGCAGAAUGAUCUCCAGUAUAACGAGCAGAAGAACCAUGUCCAUGUGGCACCUCCAAGCCAUGAUCUAUAUGGCAAAACGAAGGCUGUUGCACUCGCCACUCUUUUUGUCCUCUUGAUUGCCACCCUGCUGCUUCUUGGUCUCUCUCUAUAUAAUGGGGUUUGUACAGAAAUUUGGAUGAACCCGCGCUCCAUAUGACUGUUGAACAAUUGUAGCUGGCAUAGACGACUCAAAGUGGAGAGAAGUCAGCUACAAAGAAGAGAGUAGCUGGUAAUGGUAGGCCGGUCCUGUCCACGUUGCUGAAAACCCAAAGAAUAUGGUGCUCCCGAUCGGGAUUGCUCUGCUUCAGAGUCUACAUGCAGCAGUGGAUUCAACUGUCAAGAAGGGUGGGCGGCCGUUGAAAAUGGACUGUUGUGCUCAGCGCGCCGGAAAUUUCCGUGUAGUUUAGAGUGGCACGGCUAAGUUGAUUACUUGUGAUGACAAUCUAUGCAUGUGAUGAAGACUUUGACCACGUCCAAGGCGUUGGUCGUCUCAGACGACUCUAACCAUCUGCCUGCCUCGAGAUCUGCAGCACGACCUGCUACGCCAUUGUAAUUUGCACAGUAUAUGUACAGUAACACCUUAAGCGAUGACAGUAACCAUCCACACCGCAUGCGGUGGUUACAACAGUACUGUAUUAAAGACUUUUCCACCGCAAAAAAAAGUAUUAAAGACUUUUCAAUGGCUUGUAAGUUUCUUGCAUAAGCAGUGACUUGGACAUGAAAGCAAGGCUGGGAUCCAGAAGUGCGGAUGGAUGAACGAGGAUAACAAGUGCAUGCACUUGGAAAAGUGGUAGCAUGGAACAAGAAUUCUCACAGGCUUAAAGGAGGAAGAGUGUAAACUCGCAGUAAGCUAGCUUUUGGCCUUGACCAAAUCCAAGCAUGCAUCAAGCUCAAGUCUAUAAGACCAACACAUGCAUACGUCUACCAGGCCAGAGUAGCAAAGCACAAUAGAAAAUUCACUGAUGUCCACAUUACACACCAACAACAUGGCGUGUCCUCUGUUAGCCAUCCUCCUCCUGUCAUCAGCUUUGAACCACUUCUCAUCUGCUGCAACACUAGCUGAUAGUAGCACCCUCACCAGCACAGAUGCUCUGCUCUGCCUCAAGUCUCGCCUCCGCGGCAACACACGGGCCAUGGCUAUGUGGAACAACAGCGCCUCGCCGGAUUUCUGCGCUUGGCCAGGGGUCACCUGCACAAGGAGGACAGGGCAACCACCCCUUGUGGUGGCCUUGGAUAUGGAGGCGGAAGGACUCGCGGGUGAGAUCCCAUCAUGCAUCUCCAACCUCACUUCUCUGGUAAGAAUCCACUUGCCCAACAACCAGCUCUCCGGCCAUAUCCCGUCGGAACUUGGCCGGCUCUCUGGACUCAGGUACCUCAACCUCAGCGUCAACACGCUCAGCGGCACCAUCCCUCUCAGUCUUGGUGCGCUUCACAACCUUUCUUCUCUAGACUUGGGUAGCAAUGGACUAUCCGGUGAAAUUCCACCUUUCAUGAAGUCAAAGCUCACAUACCUAAGUCUAGUCGGAAACAGCUUUACCGGAGUCGUGCCGCCAUCGGUGGCAAAUCUCUCAUCCCUUACAUACCUCUUGCUUGCGCAAAACCAGUUGCAAGGAUCCAUUCCUGAUUUGGGUGAACUGUCAAGCCUACAAAACCUUGAUCUCUCCUACAACAAUCUAUCAGGGACAGUACCGCCCUCCAUUUACAAUUUGUCCUCAUUAAACUACCUUGGGUUGUCCAACAAUAACCUUGGAGGAACACUACCUUCUGGUAUGGGCAACACACUUCCUAACAUCCAAAUACUGAUGAUGCAUAAUAAUCAUUUUGAGGGGGCUAUUCCAGCCUCGCUGCAGAAUGCCUCCAGCAUGACGAUUAUCCAUCUAGGCAACAACUCUUUGACUGGGGUGAUUCCUUCUUUUGGCUCCAUGCCAAACUUGAAGCAUGUAAUGUUGUACUCAAAUCAGCUAGAAGCCGGGGACUGGGCAUUCUUCUCCUCCUUAGCAAAUUGUACACGUUUGCAGCAACUGAACUUGGGUAGAAACAACCUUCGGGGAGAUUUACCACCGAAUUCCAUAGAGAAUCUGCCCAAAAGCUUGACCGCUCUAACUCUUCGGUCAAACAACAUCUCUGGCACCAUUCCCUUGGAGAUUGGAAACUUGUCUAAUCUUGCCCUGCUCUAUCUUGAUAGAAAUCUUUUCGGUGGGCCUAUACCUUCUACCCUUGGUCAACUAAGCAAUCUUGUCGUGCUUAGCCUAUCACAGAACAAAUUUUCUGGGGAAAUACCUCCUUCCGUUGGAAGCCUACACCAGCUGCAAGAGCUCUAUUUGCAAGAAAAUCAAUUGAGUGGAAGCAUACCUGCAAGUCUAGCCAGCUGUGAGAACUUACUUGCAUUAAACCUUUCAUGUAAUACCCUUGGUGGAAGCAUAAGUGGAGACAUGUUGGGCAAGUUGAAUCAGUUGAGUUGGCUACUUGAUUUAUCACACAACCAAUUCGCAAUGUCCAUACCAGUAGAGAUGGGUAGCUUGAUAAACCUUGGUUCCUUGAACAUCUCCCACAACAAUCUCACGGGAAGAAUACCGUCCACACUCGGUGCUUGUGUCCGAUUGGAAGCGCUUCGUGUAGAAGGGAACCUCCUGCAAGGAAACAUCCCACAAUCGCUAGCAAACCUGAAAGGCAUCCAAAUGUUUGAUUUCUCCAACAACAACCUAUCUGGUACAAUUCCAGAGUUCCUCGAGACCUUCACCUCGUUGCAGUAUCUGAAUAUGUCCUUCAACAACUUGGAAGGACCAGUCCCCAUAGGUGGAGUGUUUGCUAACACAAGUGGUAUUUUUGUCCAAGGAAAUCCACACCUUUGUUCAAAUGGUGCAUUAAGAGAGCUUCCUAGAUGCUUUGCUUCGGCAUCCACAAAAAAGCAAAAGUUUUUUGUUCCUAUGAUGAUAGCUCUGUCAGCUCUUGUCGCACUUGCUUUAAUCUUGGGGGUGUUCAGUUUUUGGUUGAGAAGGAGAUACACAUCCGGUGAGAGAAUUGGCCAUUCAUACAUGGAGUUGAAAAGGAUAACAUACGGUGACGUAAUGAAAGCAACAGAUAGUCUUUCUCUAGCCAAUGUAGUCGGCUCCGGGCAAUUUGGGAUUGUCUACAAAGGUUGGUUCGACGCGGAAGAUGGUACGGUUGCUGUUAAAGUCUUCAAGCUCAAUCAACAUGGCGCAUUGCAUAGCUUCAUUGCUGAGUGCAAAGCUUUGCAACACAUCCGCCAUCGGAAUCUCGUGAAGGUGAUAACCGCGUGCUCAACUUAUGACCUAGUGGGAAAUGAGUUCAGGGCUCUAGUCUUUGAGUAUAUGGCCAACGGGAGCCUUGAAGACCGACUUCACAACCACCAGUGUGGUGGUUUGAGUUUAGGCGCAGUGAUCCGCAUAUCAGUUGACAUUGCUUGUGCUCUUGAAUACCUACAUAACCAGUGCAUCCCACCGGUUGUUCACUGCGAUCUAAAACCAAGCAACAUACUUUUCGACAAUGAUGAUACUGCACGUGUCUGCGACUUUGGUCUGGCAAAGCUAAUUCAUGGAUGUUCAUCUGGAGGGCAGAGCGGCACAACAAGCAUAGUUGGACCAAGGGGAUCUAUUGGGUACAUACCUCCUGGUCAGUAUAUUUUACAAGCCCAUUACGAAAUAAUGUUAACGAAAUGUAGUAUGACUAACUAUAUCAGUUGCUAGUUUGUUUGUUAUUAAUACUAGCAUGUUUCACUUUUGUACUCCGCUGAAGAACUUUUUGUUUCAAAACAUUAUUGCAGAGUAUGGCAUGGGCAGUGAAAUCUCAACCGAGGGUGACGUCUACAGCUAUGGCAUUGUUCUUUUGGAAAUGCUUACACGGAAACGGCCUACCAAUGAAGAGUUCAGUGAUGGCUUGACGCUCCACAAGUAUGUAGAUGCAUCACUUUCACGAACCCAAGACAUUCUUCACCCCGGUCUUACUUUAGAGACGGGAGAUCAGCGUGUCGAUCAUAUUCCAAACUUGCAAGAGCACAACACAUUUGCACUGAAGGACAUCUGUGCUCUCCGGCUCCUUAGACUUGGCUUAUUAUGCUCAGCGGAAUCACCUAAGGAUCGCCCAGCAAUGCAUGAUGUCUACGGCGAAGUAACUGAAGUAAAAGAGGCAUAUUUCUCUAUUGACAACCGAAGGCAAUGACCCUACAUAAUGAAGGCAAAGACACUCGAUGAAGAUGAAGAUGAAGAUGAAGCUCGUUGCUCCGACCACAGCAUGACAACAUGUUGCUAUCUUUUUUCCUUUUCUGUAAGCCAAUAUGUUUGGCUCACUGUAAUAAUUUGGUUACAUACGCUCCCAAUGUCUCGCCAAGAUCUUCUGAUAAUCUUUUCAUACAUCAAUAAAGAGCCCUUUGCCUUAUAAUGAUGGGUUUCUACUAGGGAAUUUUUUGAUAUUUUCUUUGCUGGAAAACUAGAAGACUAUAGAACAAAAACACAUUGUACGCACCUGUCAGAUCCCCACGUAAACAAAUAUUAAAUGGCAAAUACAGUUGGAACUGUAAAACUCACUUUCCAGUUCACCUCUCGCCACGAACUUGUAAAUUCUACAGCAAGCUUCACAAAUUAUACAACAAGCUCGAUGUUCCUUGGGUGAACUUGAUCUGGGAUACUUAUUAUGCAGGCAAGAUACCUCAUGCAACGGAGCCGUGUGGAUAGUUUUGGUGGAGGGAUCUCAUGCAACUCUCGGAUAUCUACAGAGGAGUCACAAAGACGGAUGUGGCAGCGGGAGACAUGGUCCUCUUCUGGAAGGACAAAUGGAAAAGUGAAAAUUUUCAAGACAAAUUCCCGAGAGCCUUCUCGUUUGCCAGAGAGCCGGACACUUCGGUGCGUCAACUACUAUCCUCUGAACAAUUGGGUGAGGUGUUCCACCUUCCUCUCUCAUCGGAGGCGCGACAAGAGGUGGCUGGUCUGUAGACUGAAACUUUGGAUAUUUCCCUCGUGGCGGGCAAGGAUACUUGGUCUUGUGUCUGGGGCGGGAGAGACUUUAGAUCUACACAAUUUUAUGCUCACUGCUUCAGCCAAGUGCAUGCUGACGAUGCCUUCAGUUGGAUAUGGAAAACUAAAUGUACCAUGUAGUGGAAAGUGUUCCUGUGGCUGUUGAUGGCCGAUAGACUAAACACUAGGAAUAUGCUCAAGAGAAGGCAUUACAAAAUCCAAAAUGAUGACUAUACUUGUCUACUUUGUCACAACCCUCCGGAGGAGGACAUCGUGCACCUCUUCUUUACCUGCCCCUUCAGCCAGAGAUGCUGGAAUGCCCUUGGAAUCCAAUGGCCAAAUGAUACUUGCAGGUUGAGAAUGCUGCAUGAUUCCAAGGUCAAAUGGGCUCAGCCUUUGUUCCAGGAAGUUUUUGCGGUGGCAGCUUGGGGGAUCUGGAAGGAGAGAAAUGACAAACACUUCAUCCAGCCCUCGUUUGAUUCUUGGAAGAAUAGAUUCAAGCUGGACUUUGCCAUGCUAGCUCAUAGAUCGAAGCAGGAGCAUGGCCCUUACAUUUUAUCACUAGUUAGCUCACUGUAAUUCUUUGUAAUAGCUUAUUAAUCACUCCCCCCCUCCAAUGUAAAUUGUAACUUUCUGGAUACUCUAACCCCCCCUAACUCUUAACUUAUUAAUACAAAAGGCAGAGAAUCUCACUGUCAUCAGUUCUCAGAAAAAAACAAACUUGUAAUUUUCAUCAAAAUUUGUGAUUAUUUUGUGACCUAGACAACAAGUUUUGAGAUUACAAAUGAAUAGCAGAUAUUCAAUUCGGCUCUUGGGAGCAUAUGCUUUUGCCCACCAAAAAUGUUUUUUCUAAAUGUCAACAUAUUUUAGAAAAAAACAGAUGUGUUCAUUGUCAGACCAAAAUGCAGUGUAAGUUUUUAGGAAGAAAGCUUAAGAUUUUGAUCUGUGCAAAAAAAGAAUAAGUCAAACACCAAAUGUUACACUUAUUUUUUUUUCACCAACGAGCACCCUCAUCCUGUUUCACAUCAAAAUUGCCAAGCACGCUUGUUACACUAACAAGAACAUCUACAAAAAAUAUCAGAAUUUUUAAAUUUUAUUUACUAUUUAUUUUUAAUUUACUGUUCAUUAAGGAGCAUAUGCACCCAAAGCCAAAACGGCCCUCCUAAUGAAUAGCCAUAGAGUUGUCUUUUUCAUACAAGUAAUAUUUCACAAGAUAUAGCCCAAUUUACAACCAUGACUUGUUUUCAUAUUUUUGGAAACUGAGAAAAAAAAGUACAGGGAUGACAUAAUUACUUUCCCCCGUGCACGAGGUCACAGGUCUCUACUUUAUCUUAAAAUGAAGGCCUGUAGUAGAACUAGGAAAAACUUGAAACAUACUGUAAUUAUAACCAUGACAUGCCCAGCAGUUUCAAAUCAAACUAUAUCGUAUAAACUGCAAAAGGAGCAACUGAACUAAUCUGCACUCUGAAGUUUUCCAUAUACACAGGUUGUCUGGUCAUACAUGAGAUUCAUCGGUUGCUGCAGACCAAGGUUGCAACCACACCAAAAUGAUGUAUUAAAAUCACCAGACAAAUACUCUUUACACAACACACAUACAAAAAAAACGCAAAACGAUAAAUCACGGGCUCCUGGUCGCAUGCAUGUACAUCGACUUCUAACAUUUGGCUUCCACAUUCUUAUCGCACGAAAUAGCAUAGCGCGUCACCCAAGAGCCUUUUUUACACUCUUCGUUCAGCAGGGAGGAAUGGUAUACCUUCAUCUGACCAGCACCUAAGAGCACCCCAAACAUUUACUUACUGGGCCUAGGAACUCUAGAAAGCCGUGCGUUGGUGGGGGUGAAUUUUCAUCUGUUUUACAGGGCAGGUGUUUGAGGAAUGCCCUGACUGCGCCCGUUACACCGUCUUCUGAUUCCAUGGCCUUGGCAAGCUCCACGGCCUUUUCUUUCACCUGAAAAUCACAUGGGGAAAAUACAUGUUUGCUGUAAUUUUACUAACAGGAGAUCAUACAAACUAGUGAGUUAUAAAUAAGUUCUGAAUCAGGGAAGUUUAGUUUAGUACUGAUUUGUGUAUAUGUCCCAAAGCUGUUCCAAUCUGAGAACUUAAUAUCUGAAUUUGAACAUUCUAACUAUCCAAUUUAACGGACCGGUUCCUGUUUCUUGGCAGUAACCAGUCUGUUCCUGGCUUUUGGAACCCUGCUGGGUACCAAACUACGAAUGCACUGGUAAGUUACCGACGACAACAGAAUCUUUCCAAAAACUCAAGUAAAUGGUCAUUCAUCUUGACAAUGUAUAUUUGGAUUAAGUCCUCAUGUAAAAAAUGGUGAAGGUCUUAAAUGGUGGAUGGAUCAUGGGGUUCUAAACUUCUAAUUAUCAAGGUGAUAAUCUAGCAAUUUUGUACUCCCUCCGUUCCUAAAUACUUGUCUUUCUAGGCAUUUCAAC